This is a long non-coding RNA of Centrocercus urophasianus (Greater sage-grouse), 994 nucleotides long. RefSeq lists it as uncharacterized. The record is from RefSeq and is a predicted model, not a curated record. The transcript is spliced from 5 exons. Lineage: Eukaryota; Metazoa; Chordata; Aves; Galliformes; Phasianidae.
AGUGUUAGAACAACAGGGGACACUCCAGGGCAAUAAACCAAUACUUUGCCUAAUGACUGGUAGCAUAUGUCUGAACAAACUGCAUCAAUGGGGAAUUCCAGGACAGCCUGCCAAGCUCUGCACAACCACCCACGACUUUCAAAUGAUAUUUGGAAAUCAUGUCAUGACCUUCAUGCAAAUGGCAAUCGACUCAGCCUUCGGGGAUGGACUACACCACAAUUAUUUUGGCUCCUCCGAGCCCAAAGGCUGUGUGAAUGCUCUCCUACUGCUCCAUCCACGCUGGUGCCAAGUGGAGACCCAUUCACAAGGAGGUUUUUUUUGCAAGACCUCUCUACUGGUGGCACGGGGGAGCUGCAAGGGACGGAGCGCUGGGAGCUGUUUUCAAAGACGACGGCUCACCAGAAGGACUGGAGGAACCGCUGAACGAGAGCAGCGCGAACCCCACGGGACCCCAGGAGCCUCGAACCCGCAACCCUAAGGCUCAGCGCGGCUCGCAGCAGCGCCACCUCCCGCCCAGAUGUUGGAGCCUGAGACCAGAGAAAAUUUCAUUCAGGAUCUCAUGGUGAUGCAGCAGGAGCCUCAUUAAGGUGAAGAGAAGCAGCAGCACUACUCCCAGCCUGCAUUCUGCCAGUGCUGCCAGAUGGACCCCACUCCAUGCCUCAGCCUCUCCUCACCCUAAACCUCAGCACAGCAAUUUCAGAGGAGAAAGACGACGCUGAAGGUGUACCUUGUUCAGUAAGAAAGAGGAAGGCAUAGAUAGAUGAUGAGAAAUCAGGAGGAGAAAGGGUGGAGGAAAGAGGCUGCUAAACAUGAGAGGAUGAUGUGGCCUCCAGAGGGGAUGUACAACACGUCAAAGUGAGAGGUUAAAGAAAAGGAUUCUACCCUGGCAGAUUCUGUGGAUCACGGUCUGUUCUGUUGGCCUUGAAGCUGUUGAAGUAACAACAGAGUUCUGGCACUCUGUCCCUGAGCACAAGAAAAAUGUUGCACGACACAA